This 397-nucleotide ribosomal RNA is filed under the name uncultured bacterium. Its description in RNAcentral is "bacterial SSU rRNA". It matches the Rfam family "Bacterial small subunit ribosomal RNA", at positions 521 to 916 of the family's 1533-position model. The record is from RNAcentral.
UAAUACGUAGGGACCAAGCGUUGUUCGGAUUUACUGGGCGUAAAGGGCGCGUAGGCGGCAAUUCAAGUCAGCUGUGAAAUCUCCGGGCUUAACUCGGAACGGUCAGCUGAUACUGCUUUGCUAGAGUGCAGAAAGGGCAAUCGGAAUUCUUGGUGUAGCGGUGAAAUGCGUAGAUAUCAAGAGGAACACCUGAGGCGAAGGCGGGUUGCUAGGCUGACACUGACGCUGAGGCGCGAAAGCUAGGGUAGCAAACGGGAUUAGAUACCCCGGUAGUCCUAGCCCUAAACGAUGAAUACUUGGUGUCUGGAGUUUUUAUCCUCCGGGUGCCGUCGCUAACGUUUUAAGUAUUCCGCCUGGGGAGUACGCACGCAAGUGUGAAACUCAAAUGAAUUGACGG